UGAUCCUGGCUCAGGACGAACGCUGGCGGCGUGCUUAACACAUGCAAGUCGAACGCUGAAGCCUAGCUUGCUGGGUGGAUGAGUGGCGAACGGGUGAGUAACACGUGAGUAACCUGCCCUCUUCUUUGGGAUAACGCCCGGAAAUGGGUGCUAAUACUGGAUAUUCACUGGUCUUCGCAUGGGGGUUGGUGGAAAGGGUUUUUCUGGUGGGGGAUGGGCUCGCGGCCUAUCAGCUUGUUGGUGGGGUGAUGGCCUACCAAGGCUUUGACGGGUAGCCGGCCUGAGAGGGUGACCGGUCACAUUGGGACUGAGAUACGGCCCAGACUCCUACGGGAGGCAGCAGUGGGGAAUAUUGCACAAUGGGCGCAAGCCUGAUGCAGCGACGCCGCGUGAGGGAUGGAGGCCUUCGGGUUGUGAACCUCUUUCGCUCAUGGUCAAGCCGCAACUGUGGGUUGUGGUGAGGGUAGUGGGUAAAGAAGCGCCGGCUAACUACGUGCCAGCAGCCGCGGUAAUA
Molecule: ribosomal RNA, 514 nt
Filed under: Schaalia meyeri
Lineage: Bacteria; Bacillati; Actinomycetota; Actinomycetes; Actinomycetales; Actinomycetaceae
Description: bacterial SSU rRNA
Rfam family: Bacterial small subunit ribosomal RNA
Source: RNAcentral